This 497-nucleotide ribosomal RNA is filed under the name uncultured bacterium. Its description in RNAcentral is "partial 16S ribosomal RNA". It matches the Rfam family "Bacterial small subunit ribosomal RNA", at positions 28 to 507 of the family's 1533-position model. The record is from RNAcentral.
GAUGAACGCUGGCGGCGUGCCUAAUACAUGCAAGUCGAGCGAACGGACGAGAAGCUUGCUUCUCUGAUGUUAGCGGCGGACGGGUGAGUAACACGUGGAUAACCUACCUAUAAGACUGGGAUAACUUCGGGAAACCGGAGCUAAUACCGGAUGAUAUUUUGAACCGCAUGGUUCAAAAGUGAAAGACGGUCUUGCUGUCACUUAUAGAUGGAUCCGCGCUGCAUUAGCUAGUUGGUAAGGUAACGGCUUAUCAAGGCAACGAUGCAUAGCCGACGUGAGAGGGUGAUCGGCCACACUGGAACUGAGACACGGUCCAGACGCCUACGAGAGGCAGCAGUAGGGAAUCGUCCGCAAUGGGCGAAAGCCUGACGGAGCAACGCCGCGUGAGUGAUGAAGGUCUUCGGAUCGUAAAACUCUGUUAUUAGGGAAGAACAUAUGUGUAAGUAACUGUGCACAUCGUGACGGUACCUAAUCAGAAAGCCACGGCUAACUACGUG